AGAUUGUUAUAGCUAUCAAAGUGGUGACUAGUUCAGGCUGAGUUUUGUUUCUGUGAAGUUUUUCCAGUUACUUACCUUCCUCACUCUCUGCAAGGAACCCUGCUGCUCACUUGCUCUCUACCACUUUCCAACUUAAGGAAUAAGGAGCAAGCCAAAACCCAGAAUCCUUACUGGCUAUUGCCAGCGCCCAGUCCCAGUGAAAGCCACAGGGUGAUUGGAACAGUUAUUUUAAGUACAGAUUUUUAAACUGUUAGGUUGUGUUGUAAAGGGUUUUUCUAAAACCUAUUGAUUUUAAGAUCCUAUUGAUUGAAAAUCUGCAGAAUAACACAAUUUUUUAAAAACAAAGAAGGUGGAUCUGUUGUAUUCCAGCAUCUGCAAAGUGGAUGUUCAUACCAUUUGGCUAAACAUGGUCAAAUUUCUGUUAUAGAACAUCCUCCGGCUAUGCAGAAGUUUUUCUUUCACCACCUGGACCUACAGUGCUGUUCUCGCAUCAAAACACUUUGCAAGGUGCUCCAAAAUACUCCAACUCUUACCAGCGGAAUCUGGGGGACUUCUACCACAUGGAGACCUUGUUGUUGCUUUGGCACAUGUGGGAAAAUGGAUACUUUCUGAAAACAUAAUGGAGAGUUUGCGGUUCUGUUGCCUUGUGAGGUCGCUCUAAGUUUGCGGUUGUUUGUUCGUCCCAGCCCUGUACUACGGUUUCCUCGCGCCCCGGGAGACGCACGCGACCCACCGCGGCGGCUCUGACUCUCGGCUGAGUCACUGGACUGGACCGCACCACACCGACCCUCCGCCUCCGCCUGUCUCGCUCCUGUAUAUAAAGAAACCGAACAGAGCUGAUGCCGAGCACCUCGCAGUUCUCAAUACAGAGUGUACGUGUGAAACAGCUGAGACGAGGAAGAGUUCAAAAACGACAGUGAAUAACCAACCAAGAGUGCGGUUACUUUCUUUACGAAACAGCUGUACAAAUAGCAUAACAUGCUUGUAUAAUUAUUAACUACUACAAUAUUAUUUUAAUGAAAAAUACUUCUUUUAUUCAAAUCAAUUUUGUGGAUGGUAUGUCCUAUGUAUUAUAGGGUGCCUGUGAGUAAAUAAAAGCAAUAAAAAGCAAUCAAAAAUGCCCUGUCUUCCCUGUAUAAGAGUUGUGGAUGGUCGUCGCGGUGCUUCUAUGUCUAUCUUUUCAAAAGUCUUUCUGUGAAUUUACUUGGAGUGAAAUAACGGAAAUGCUACACAUUACAUAUUACAUAGAAACAUAUUACCCAGCAAAUUUACCUUUGUUUUUAAAGCUGAAUCCUUUCCAGAUUUUUAUCCUGCCUUUUAUUUCUAUGUUAUUAUCCAUUGAUAUUCACAAGUGAAUUCUUUUCUUCUUCUUUGUUUUUUUUAAACACUAUUGUAUUAAGAUUUUUUUCUAUAGUGAUGUAGAUGAUAAGACCUGUUUUUCUUUCUUACUUGCUAGAUUCAUGGUGUCUGUUCCAUUUAGUUACCUCCUUUAGAAAAGUGAGCAAUGGAGACAGAAAUUACUGGGAUUCCCAUGAUAUGGGAAUUCCUUUUCAAGAUUAUAUUUGAUGGCUAUUAAGCUCACAUGGAUCCUUUUUCAUGCAUGGAUUUAUGGAUAUUGUCUGUGUGUUUUAUGCAAUAUUAUAAGAUUGUUAACUGUGUGGAGAUCACAUGUUUUAACACCUCAUUUCAGACUAAACUGAUGAUGGUGCAUAACGAUGCCUAAUAAUCAAUAUUAAGAACAAUACUUAUUAUACAGACUGAACAACUGAUACACUGUUACUUUGUGCUAUGUUUCAGCUACAUUCAGCCCUUUUCUUCAUUGAUAAAAGCUAAUGCAUUACUGCAAUUUAUUCUGAUCACAGUUUCAUACCAAAGUUUAACUGAAGCAACUGGAUGCAAGCUGGAACUUUUGCUAUAUUUCAAUAAAUCAUCCUUGAACAAGAA
Long non-coding RNA from Oreochromis niloticus (Nile tilapia), 1944 nucleotides. RefSeq lists it as uncharacterized. The record is from RefSeq and is a predicted model, not a curated record. The transcript has 4 exons. Lineage: Eukaryota; Metazoa; Chordata; Actinopteri; Cichliformes; Cichlidae.